AAUAUUGUGCCGGAUUAACGGGUUACAUUGAUGUUGUAAAUUAUGGUAUCACCCAAUAUUU
This 61-nucleotide transfer RNA is filed under the name Clavisyllis tenjini. RNAcentral describes it as "tRNA-Ile". The record is from RNAcentral. Lineage: Eukaryota; Metazoa; Annelida; Polychaeta; Phyllodocida; Syllidae.